Molecule: ribosomal RNA, 253 nt
Filed under: uncultured bacterium
Lineage: Bacteria
Description: partial 16S ribosomal RNA
Rfam family: Bacterial small subunit ribosomal RNA
Source: RNAcentral
UACGGGGGGGGCAAGCGUUGGUCGGAAUUACUGGGCGUAAAGGGCUCGUAGGCGGCCAACUAAGUCGGAUGUGAAAUCCCCAUGCUUAACCUGGGAACUGCAUCCGAUACUGGAUGGCUUGAAUCCGGGAGAGGGAUGCAGAAUUCCAGGUGUAGCGGUGAAAUGCGUAGAUAUCUGGAGGAAUACCGGUGGCGAAGGCGGCAUCCUGGACCGGCAUUGACGCUGAUGAGCGAAAGCUAGGGGAACAAACGGG